Molecule: unclassified non-coding RNA, 2345 nt
Filed under: Penaeus chinensis
Lineage: Eukaryota; Metazoa; Arthropoda; Malacostraca; Decapoda; Penaeidae
Description: serine/arginine-rich splicing factor 4-like, transcript variant X8
Source: RNAcentral
UACAUCUCUCCUUUCGCUCCAACGGGGCAAUCGGCGUGAAGACGGGCUCGGGAAUGCAAUGCCCUCUGCCCCCUGGUCGGAAGUGACGUGCCACGGGCGCUGGGAAGGCGGAAAUCGCGUGUAGAGCGUGGCGGCCGUGAUGAAGGUGCCACGAAGAUACACAAUGUCAUCUGACUCAGAGGAAGAAAAUGGAGUCAGGCAUGAGAAGGAUGACAGUGAUGGGGGCAACUAUGAUGGCAGAUCAAGAUCCCACUCUAGGUCAGCAUCUCCAGGAGAUCAAAGGUCAAAUCGGCAAAAUAUGUCUGACAGAGAGGACUCAGUGGAGGGGAGGGAGAAUGGGAUGAGAGGGGAGUCAGAUACAGAAGAAAACAGAGGCCAAAAAGAGUCCAGUCACUCGAGGACUCCUGAGGAUAAGGAAAUGAUUGAGUGGAGUGGCGAGGCAGCAGAAAAGAGAUGCUCGCGCAGCAGAAGUGACGAAGCUGAGGAUAAAGUGGCAUCUCGUAGUCGUAGUAAGAGUAAGCAGAGGGAAGUAGACACCAGUAAAGAAAGGAAAUCUAGUUCGUCGUCGUCAAAAAAGAAAUCUCGAUCCAGAAGAUCUCGUUCACGGUCAAGGAGCAAGAAGCGAUCUCACUCUCGAAGUAGAAGAUCUCGCUCCAGAAGUCGUAAGAAAUCCAGAUCGAGGUCCCGAUCUCGUGGAUCAAGACGACGAUCACGAUCUCGGUCAAGAAGGCGUUCAAGAUCUCGAUCUAGAAGUGGAACGCCGGUAGAUGGAGCUCGUCUUCACGUAGCUGAGCUAGAUGUUGAUACACGCAAGAGGGACUUAGAGCGAGUGUUUGAGAAAUAUGGCAGACUGCGGGAGAUCUGGAUGGCUCGGAAUCCACCUUGCUUUGCGUUUGUGGUUUAUGCACAUCAGAAGGAUGCAGAUAGAGCACUUAAGGAAACUGAUGGAAUAAUGAUUGGCCACUGCCGCAUCAAGGUCACUCAAGCAAGGCCUCGUGUUCGUGGUGGACGCAUGAGAGGAGCUUAUGACCCAAAUCUGCGGUGUUACCAGUGUGGUGAACUAGGUCACUUUUCUAGAAAUUGCACAGACACCAAGUUUGGCUAUAAGCGACCCCCAACUCCACCAGGGAAAGUAUGUUUGGGAGCUGCCAGAUCUUGAAGACCUCCUCCUUUGUGGUUGUUGAUGAGAGUGUAGGAUGCAGAGUGUCCACGCGAAGAUAUUGCUUGUGAAAUUUAGUUCUGUUUGGGCCUGAGUUUCUGGAGGAGGUCGAGAACUGCUAGCACACCGGGGAUCAGGAAGAUAUCGGCACAGGUCCCGAUCAAGAUCCCGUUCUCGGCACCACAGCCGAUCAAGAUCCCGUUCUUGAGGAAUGGGUUCAGAAACUUGUAGAUGAAUGGGCUGUGGCCUCUGCUCGGCAGAGCCACUAAGUCCGACACAAGGAGAUACACAGGAGGUCAAGCAUUACCUUGGUUAAGAGAAAAAAUUCUCUUGCAGCUUUCCUGGUCAUAGCGUACCAGGAAUCCCUUAUGCUUAACACAUCCACUGGAAACAUUUGCUUUAUACUUCAGUGAUUCAGAAAUACAUUUAAGAAAGUACAGAUAUAUUCAGUUUUUGAAACAAUUUAGAUAAUCAGAUUUUUUUCUUUUCUUUUCUUUUUGUCAGACAUAUUUUCCUGCUUCUCAUUAAGAAAGAAAAACUUUAAAUUGUCUGCAUAGUUUUUUUUUGUACCUCCCAGAUGGCUGAUUACUUGCUAUGGUAUUCAACUGAGAGUUGGUUUAUGUUUUGUAAUGGAAUUUAUUUUGUCUUGAAUUGGUUUUCAAAUAUUAGAAAAGAAAUGCUCCUUUAUUCUUAGGGAGAGAAAGAUAGAAAAGAGAAAUUGCAUUUUUUUUUGAGGCAAUCAUCUUCAGUUUAUUAAAAAAAAAAAAAAAAAAAAAAAAAAAAAGAAUGUAGCAAAAGGAAAUGAAUAUAAGGGGGUUAGAAAGCAAUAUUGCAGGUGAUCAUCCUGCAAUAUGCCGUUGUGUUUAUUGGUCAUAUGUUAUAAAAAUAUAAUUUAAAGAGAGCAUCCAUAUGCAUAAGAUUUAUCAGUUAUUAUACAAUUAAACUUUAAAAAUUCCAACAGUUUGGCAUUAUACUUUGAAGAAUGCUAUAUAAUAUGAAUUUUUAUUUUGUGUUGCUAUUACUGAUUCAACAGUGAUUAAUAAUUUUUGGUGGUAAGUCAAAAUUGAAUAGACUUAGAAAAUUAUAGAUGUGAAUGAAUUUUGUGUGCGUGCAAAUUUGUUGUAGAGUGAAAAUAACUGAUGUAUUUUGGUUGUAUAAGUGUAGUAAUAAAUAUGAAAAUACAAAA